Long non-coding RNA from Amblyraja radiata (thorny skate), 247 nucleotides. RefSeq lists it as uncharacterized. NCBI's taxonomy places the organism in Eukaryota, Metazoa, Chordata, Chondrichthyes, Rajiformes, Rajidae. The transcript is spliced from 3 exons. The record is from RefSeq and is a predicted model, not a curated record.
CUUAACAUGCAUCUGUGUUGAGCUGUUCCCGAUCGCGAGUGCAGAAAUCGGCACUACAGUGCAGUUUUCGCAUCGAUUUUCAUCACUUCGCUAGUCGGAGUAGACCGAUCAUUCGCGGGGUUGGGAAAGGGUCCCAACGAGAUCAUAGAACAGACUUUAGCAAGCACUGAGGGCAUUAGUGCCUUUGGGGUUAGAGGCCCUACUAAAACUGGGUUAAAGGCCCAUAACAUAAUAGCAGGGUUGUGUU